GUCAAGGACUUUGGGCCUAUCAAUUUAUUGAAUGGGGUUCACAAAAUUGUUAUAAAGAUUCUUGUACAGGUUGCAAGGUGUCCUGCAUGAGCUGGUGAUGGAUGGUUAGUUUGCUUUAAUUAAAGGAAGAUCUAUAAUGGAUUGUUUGUUACUGCUCAAGAAGUAGUUUCUCACAUUUGUAGAGGUGAAAACUGACAAGGAUUCUUCUGAAAUUAGACUUUAGAGAAAAGCAUAUGAUGCUGGUGAUUCGAAAUUGUUUUUGAAGAUUCUCCAUAACAGGAGGUUUUCUCGGAUGGAUCAAUUAGAUAGAGUGUUGCCUGGUGUCUGGAUGUUCUGCAGUUCUUUUGAAUGGUAAAUCUGGAUGUUGCUUGCUUGUUGAAGUGGUUUGAAGCAAGCAAUUCCCUUAUCUCCAUUUUCUAUUUAUUUUGAUGGA
Molecule: long non-coding RNA, 433 nt
Filed under: Elaeis guineensis (African oil palm)
Lineage: Eukaryota; Viridiplantae; Streptophyta; Magnoliopsida; Arecales; Arecaceae
Description: long non-coding RNA (EGUI_LNC016830)
Source: RNAcentral